RNAcentral lists this microRNA precursor (98 nucleotides) under Camelus bactrianus (Bactrian camel). Its description in RNAcentral is "mir-544 microRNA precursor family". It matches the Rfam family "mir-544 microRNA precursor family". The record is from Rfam by way of RNAcentral. Lineage: Eukaryota; Metazoa; Chordata; Mammalia; Artiodactyla; Camelidae. RNAcentral also lists the same sequence under 1 other name.
ACCACUAAGGGAUCUUGUUAAAAUGCAGAUUCUGAUUCAGCAGAACCGCAAAGAGGGCUGAGAGUCUGAAUUUCUAACAAGCUCCUAAGUGAUGUCCA